GCCGCUGUAGCUCAGUUGGUAGAGCAGAGGACUGAAAAUCCUCGUGUCAUCAGUUCAAAUCUGAUCGGCGGCA
Molecule: non-coding RNA, 73 nt
Organism: Ylistrum balloti
Lineage: Eukaryota; Metazoa; Mollusca; Bivalvia; Pectinida; Pectinidae
Source: the annotation of a RefSeq genome assembly